RNAcentral lists this ribosomal RNA (436 nucleotides) under Babesia microti. RNAcentral's name for it is "SSU rRNA". It matches the Rfam family "Eukaryotic small subunit ribosomal RNA", at positions 439 to 901 of the family's 1831-position model. Lineage: Eukaryota; Apicomplexa; Aconoidasida; Piroplasmida; Babesiidae. The record is from RNAcentral.
AAUUACCCAAUCCUGACACAGGGAGGUAGUGACAAGAAAUAACAAUACAGGGCUUAAAGUCUUGUAAUUGGAAUGAUGGGAAUCUAAACCCUUCCCAGAGUAUCAAUUGGAGGGCAAGUCUGGUGCCAGCAGCCGCGGUAAUUCCAGCUCCAAUAGCGUAUAUUAAAGUUGUUGCAGUUAAGAAGCUCGUAGUUGAAUUUCUGCCUUGUCAUUAAUCUCGCUUCCGAGCGUUUUUUUAUUGACUUGGCAUCUUCUGGAUUUGGUGCCUUCGGGUACUAUUUUCCAGGAUUUACUUUGAGAAAACUAGAGUGUUUCAAACAGGCAUUCGCCUUGAAUACUACAGCAUGGAAUAAUGAAGUAGGACUUCGGUUCUAUUUUGUUGGUUAUUGAGCCAGAGUAAUGGUUAAUAGGAGCAGUUGGGGGCAUUCGUAUUUAA